RNAcentral lists this long non-coding RNA (1137 nucleotides) under Pogona vitticeps (central bearded dragon). RNAcentral's name for it is "lncRNA (ENSPVIG00000001445.1)". The record is from RNAcentral. Lineage: Eukaryota; Metazoa; Chordata; Lepidosauria; Squamata; Agamidae.
GGAUAGUGGUUACUUAAUCAUUAACUAGGAUUGGCUAAAAUAACUCUUUGAUCUUAUGUUCUACCUCUAAGCGGAAGAGCAGAAGAAGGGGCUACCUCGCCUCUUGGCUGUUACACAUCCUGUCAGGAGUGUAUGCCCUUCACUGAAACAGAAUCACAGACACAACCUUUAGGCAGGAGUUUCCCACACAACCCUCUGUCAUUUUCCUGACCCUGAAAUCACUUGCUGAAUCAGGGCAACCCUACAUCUUGGUCUAAAAUGCCAGAGCAGUCAUCUUCCCUGAAUGGUGCAGGGAGCAAAACCUUUAUGAUGGAGGUAGACUCAGUAAUGCUGUAAAUUAUCCACUGUUAUAGGCCAUGGUCUACCCAAGGUCUACCCGGGUAGGUGGGGCUUGUUAGCCUUGGGAAGUCAGCCCAUCUAGGAAAAGGAAACUCUGAUUUCAGACCUUCACUGCCUUGUGGCUAUAUCCAUCAAUGGAAAAAGCUUCAGGAGUAAAUCUGGAGGCAAAAUCCAGAGCAGGAGUCCCAGAGGCACUGCCCUUGAUUCAAUUCCAUAUUACUACAUGGGGGGAUUUGCCAGAGACUGGCACCCUAUGAUUAAUUCUAACCAGAGUAGACUCAUUUACCUUGAAAGCCCUGUUGGUUCCAAUUUGACAGCACAGAACAACAACAAAGUCUUAGUUGAAACAAGGAAUUGGAUACUGGCCAGCGAAAGCUCGAGUGACCCCAAGAGAUGUCAGACUAGAGGUGACAGUCUGGAGUCAAGAUAAGGGAGGUGAUUAGAGAUUGGAAGAAGUGAUAUACCGGAAAUUCUACAUCCAUAAGACAUCUCCCUUUCCUGUGGAAAAUGUUGAUGGCAAGAUCUAACAUGGAGGUCAGAAGACAAGAGAUGUCUACAGUAGCAUAAGGUAUUGUAGAAGCAAAUGGGCUUCGUUAUUUUCCCUGUUAUUAUCACACCAUCAUGACAAAAGAUCAGGAAGUAGACCAUUCACAUCCCACUCCAAAAGCUAGCACAAAAAAAAAGCUAAUGGGGUUGCACUUCCUACUGGAACACAGCCAGAGGAAGAAUUUUAAAAAGCCAAAGCAUGCUGUUAGCCACAGUCAGUAGCAGGAAUGGAAGUAUUUACACAUGCAUAGG